Molecule: ribosomal RNA, 253 nt
Filed under: uncultured bacterium
Lineage: Bacteria
Description: partial 16S ribosomal RNA
Rfam family: Bacterial small subunit ribosomal RNA
Source: RNAcentral
UACGUAGGUCCCGAGCGUUGUCCGGAUUUAUUGGGCGUAAAGCGAGCGCAGGCGGUUCCUUAAGUCUGAUGUGAAAGCCCCCGGCUCAACCGGGGAGGGUCAUUGGAAACUGGGGAACUUGAGUGCAGAAGAGGAGAGUGGAAUUCCAUGUGUAGCGGUGAAAUGCGUAGAUAUAUGGAGGAACACCAGUGGCGAAGGCGACUCUCUGGUCUGUAACUGACGCUGAGGCUCGAAAGCGUGGGUAGCAAACAGG